UUUAAUAUGGCAGAUAAGUGCAAUGAAUUUAAGCUUCAUUUAUAAAAACAUUAAUGUUUUUUAUUAAAA
RNAcentral lists this transfer RNA (69 nucleotides) under Dolichoderus lutosus. RNAcentral's name for it is "tRNA-Leu". The record is from RNAcentral. Lineage: Eukaryota; Metazoa; Arthropoda; Insecta; Hymenoptera; Formicidae.